CAACGUGGGUAACCUGCCCAAGAGAUCGGGAUAACACCUGGAAACAGAUGCUAAUACCGGAUAACAACAGAUGAUGCCUAUCAACUGUUUAAAAGAUGGUUCUGCUAUCACUCUUGGAUGGACCUGCGGUGCAUUAGCUAGUUGGUAGGGUAACGGCCUACCAAGGCGAUGGUGCAUAGCCGAGUUGAGAGACUGAUCGGCCACAUUGGGACUGAGACACGGCCCAAACUCCUACGGGAGGCAGCAGGU
This 249-nucleotide ribosomal RNA is filed under the name uncultured Lactobacillus sp. RNAcentral's name for it is "partial 16S ribosomal RNA". It matches the Rfam family "Bacterial small subunit ribosomal RNA", at positions 113 to 354 of the family's 1533-position model. Lineage: Bacteria; Bacillati; Bacillota; Bacilli; Lactobacillales; Lactobacillaceae. The record is from RNAcentral.